ACCUGGGAUUAGCUCAGUGGGUAGAACAUGAGACUUUUAAUCUCAAGGUUGUGGGAUCGAGCCCCACAUUGGGCA
This is a non-coding RNA of Zootoca vivipara (common lizard), 75 nucleotides long. The record is from the annotation of a RefSeq genome assembly. Lineage: Eukaryota; Metazoa; Chordata; Lepidosauria; Squamata; Lacertidae.